UGGAAUCUAUCUUUGAUUCUCUGAUAAGCACCGUUGGUGUGUUAGUUGCUUAUAGCAGUCGUAUAUAUAUUUUGUGUCGGCUGCAAUUGCUCUUGGUCUGCUAACGGCUGCAGUCGUAUCCUUAUCAUCAUCAUCAUCAUUAUCACGGUCCCAAGGUUUCACGAUGAGACCAACCGAGUGAUGGAUUUAUUUUGAAUAAGUUACUGCUAUAUAAUGCUCCCCGAAAAGCUCUUGAACACCGAAGCCCUGGUCCCCCGUAGUAAAAUGGUUGUCGCAAUUGUUGUUGGACUUCUUAUUAAUAGUAUAGUACUUUGGAAAAUUUGGUCCUUCGCGUUAAGGGCCCGGGAGAUUUCUAUAUAAAACUUCUCCACUCCAAUUAAUCGUUGAUGGAUGAUAAGA
RNA transcript from Arabidopsis thaliana (thale cress), 399 nucleotides. RefSeq lists it as uncharacterized. The record is from RefSeq. NCBI's taxonomy places the organism in Eukaryota, Viridiplantae, Streptophyta, Magnoliopsida, Brassicales, Brassicaceae. The transcript is spliced from 2 exons.